RNAcentral lists this ribosomal RNA (504 nucleotides) under uncultured bacterium. Its description in RNAcentral is "bacterial SSU rRNA". It matches the Rfam family "Bacterial small subunit ribosomal RNA", at positions 19 to 518 of the family's 1533-position model. The record is from RNAcentral.
CUGGCUCAGGAUGAACGCUAGCGGCAGGCUUAACACAUGCAAGUCGAGGGGCAACGCGAGUAGCAAUACUUGGCGGCGACCGGCGCAAGGGUGCGUAACGCGUGAGCAACAUGCCCGUAUCAGGGGGAUAAUCCAGGGAAACUUGGUCUAAUACCCCAUAGUAAUUUUGUAAGGCAUCUUAUAAGAUUUAAAGCUUUGGUGGAUACGGAUUGGCUCGCGUGACAUUAGCUGGAUGGUAAGGUAACGGCUUACCAUGGCUAUGAUGUCUAGGGGUUCUGAGAGGAAGGUCCCCCACACUGGAACUGAGACACGGUCCAGACUCCUACGGGAGGCAGCAGUGAGGAAUAUUGGACAAUGGAUGGAAAUCUGAUCCAGCCAUGCCGCGUGAAGGAAGAAGGUCCUAUGGAUUGUAAACUUCUUUUGUAUGGGAGCAAUAAGGCCUACGAGUAGGUUGAUGAGAGUACCAUACGAAUAAGCACCGGCUAACUCCGUGCCAGCAGCCGC